AAGCGCAAAGAUAAAAACACAGUCCCGGUUGGUAGUCCGGGCGCGGCCCGUGCCGUCAGUAACCUGCCUCCUUGGUUGUCCCUUCUUUGUUCUGUUACC
Molecule: regulatory RNA element, 99 nt
Rfam family: azaaromatic riboswitch aptamer (yjdF RNA)
Source: Rfam